This 371-nucleotide ribosomal RNA is filed under the name uncultured organism. RNAcentral's name for it is "partial 16S ribosomal RNA". It matches the Rfam family "Bacterial small subunit ribosomal RNA", at positions 527 to 896 of the family's 1533-position model. The record is from RNAcentral.
GGAGGGUGCGAGCGUUAAUCGGAAUUACUGGGCGUAAAGCGCGCGUAGGCGGCCUGAUCAGUCGGAUGUGAAAGCCCUGGGCUUAACCUGGGAAUUGCAUUCGAAACUGUCAGGCUAGAGUAUGGGAGAGGGAAGUGGAAUUUCCGGUGUAGCGGUGAAAUGCGUAGAUAUCGGAAGGAACACCAGUGGCGAAGGCGACUUCCUGGCCCAAUACUGACGCUCAGGUGCGAAAGCGUGGGUAGCGAACAGGGAUUAGAUACCCUGGUAGUCCACGCCGUAAACGAUGAGAACUAGAUGUCGGGAGGAUUUACCUCUCGGUGUCGCAGCUAACGCGUUAAGUUCUCCGCCUGGGGAGUACGCCGGCAACGGUA